CCAAAGAGUCUGAAACACUCUCCUGAAGACCCAGAAAAGUAUUCUUGCUUUGCUUUAUUUGUGAAAUUUGGCAAAGAGGUGGCAGUUAAAAUGAAGCAGUACAAAGAUGAACUUUUGGCCUCUUGUUUGACCUUUCUUCUGUCCUUGCCACACAACAUCAUUGAACGCGAUGUUAGAGCCUACGUUCCUGCGCUGCAGAUGGCUUUCAAACUGGGCCUGAGCUAUACUCCCUUGGCAGAAGUAGGCCUGAAUGCUCUAGAAGAAUGGUCAAUUUAUAUUGACAGACAUGUAAUGCAGCCUUAUUACAAAGACAUUCUCCCCUGCCUGGAUGGAUACCUGAAGACUUCAGCCUUGUCAGGUAAGAUUUAGAAGAAUUGUGAUGUGUAUUGUAAUUAAAAUGGAAAUGGAGUAACUAUAAUAGGUAGGACUGUAUUUUUGUAACUUCUGAAAUUUAAACCCAGUGUGUUCAAAAUAUGUUUGAUUGCUAUUUUUGUAAUUUCCCUAAUUUAUCUGACUCUAAUUGUGAUAAAGAAAUAUAGUUGAGGUAUUAAAAGUAUCUUUCAUUUACUCAUAGCUUACUAAGAUUUAUAAAAUCUUCAAAGACAAGUACUGUCUUAAAUACCUUGAAAUUCUUAUGGCUCCUAAUACACUGCUUUGCAAAAAAAACUUGUUGAAUAAAUCAGUCAGGAAUUAAAAACUUCAGAAAAUUCAAAAGU
This 716-nucleotide small RNA is filed under the name Pongo abelii (Sumatran orangutan). RNAcentral describes it as "retained intron". Lineage: Eukaryota; Metazoa; Chordata; Mammalia; Primates; Hominidae. The record is from RNAcentral.